Non-coding RNA from Myotis lucifugus (little brown bat), 77 nucleotides. Lineage: Eukaryota; Metazoa; Chordata; Mammalia; Chiroptera; Vespertilionidae. The record is from Rfam.
GAGACACCCUUCUGGGGCAAGACUUGCUUCAGUGGGGCUUUGGUGCUCACUGAGUCUGCCCCCUGAGUGUUGUAACC